This 6453-nucleotide long non-coding RNA is filed under the name Musa acuminata (dwarf banana). RNAcentral's name for it is "long non-coding RNA (MACU_LNC007627)". The record is from RNAcentral. Lineage: Eukaryota; Viridiplantae; Streptophyta; Magnoliopsida; Zingiberales; Musaceae.
UUCUAGUAGUAACUUGGCCCCUCUUUCCCAAUAAGUAGAUUAGUUAGAAAUUAACUAGAACAGCGCUUAUUUGGUUUGGAUAGCUAAUCCCACAUGUAAUACACUUUCCAUUGUCUCAGAAGAAUAGUGGUAAUAGGGAUGUCUCAGAAGAAUAGUGGUAAUAGGGAGUCGGAGAUAGACUUUCCAUUCCCAGAAUAAUAAGCAGAAGCGGUAAGGCUUAUAAUAGUAAGUAUAAUAAUAGAACAGCAGGCAUUGUAUCAGCACCAAAAACAGUAGUAAAGGAAUGGGCACCAAGCGUAGACGAACAGGAUUUCACUCAGUGGCCUAAGAGCCAACCAACCGGGGGAGCAUAGGAAUUCGAACUCCGAGUAGCAAGGAGGAAAUCAAAACAGCAGGAUUAACUUCAUUAGCCUAAGACGGAAAACAGACUUCUACGGAAUCGCACUGGAGCAGCAGACUUCUAUUAAGACAGAUGAUCUAACUAAUAUACCUCGGGCGCAGAAUCCGAAUUGAGCACUCCACCAACAGAGCCCAUCGCUACCUACCUCAAAGCUUACCUUCCUCGAUCGCAGGCUUACUUGACUUUGUACCACUAUAGGACUCAUUACUUUCUUGCUCAAUGCAAACUGGCGCUACUGAACUUAGAGCUUACUUUGCUUGUUUUCAGUCUGUAUUGAUAGGUUUAUAGUCUGCCCCCACUGACUUGCAGUCUCUAUAUCUAUUCUCUUUGAUUCUAAGACCACUGAUCUGGAUCUUUGCCUUAUACGGAACUCAAAGCUAUAUCUCCUGCCUAUGAAGCUCACUUUACUGCGCCUAAAACAGUCCUUCCUCGCUCGAAAACGGUAUCCGCCUCACUGAAGUUUGACUUCCCUAACUCCAAUUACGAUUACCUUGACUCCAAGUCUAUCUCUACCUGUUCGCAAACUGGCACCCCGGUCCAACAGCCUUACCAUCCAUACUUUCUUUCUUUAACUGUUGAUCCAGAUACUGUAACUACUUACUGUCUUCUUGUACUAAUUACCUAAUUACUGUAGUUCGCUUACCCCCCGCUCUCUUAGCCUAAGUCUAUGCCUCUGUACUUUGAAGUCUUAUCUUCCCGGCUAUCAGCCUAUAUUCCCUUGCUCUAAGUCUCUUAACUCCUAUUGGAAUCCUUUAACUGUUGUAUGAUAUCCCUACUAUCUUAUCCAUGUAUGGUAUUGUACCUGUGAGUCUAUCUAUUGAUGCCAACUUCCAAUGCUACGCUGACUCUUAAACUGUACUAACCAUAAGAAUAGGCCUACUACCUAAGAGAAUGAAAACAAACACUUAUCAAAGGAAUCAACCAAGGAAUAAGUCAUUGAACUGGUACUACAGGGAAUCAAACAGGUGCUCCUCGGCCUGAUACUGAUGCUUCUAAGUCCGAUGCUAGGUAGUUUAAGCCUGAUACGGUGCCCCUGCAGGGAUAGAAUGGAGCAAGCAAAAGGGAUAGAAUUGAACUACUAAGUUACAGAAUGAAGCAGUGCCGCUAACAACCAGAAUGCGCCUAACAGUAUCGGAGGUGUGUGUGAGCUAGUAGUUAAGUCGGAAUCAAACCAGUGCAUCAAAGAACCAAGCACCUAACUAUCAGAAUGCAACCAGUGCUUCCAAGCCUGCAGCUAAGGAGGGAAAGAACGGAGCUGGCAAGGACAAGAGUGGAGCUAGUGCCACUGAGAAUAGAGCGAGGGAGUCCAAGAGCCAAACCAGUCAAUCCAAGAAUCAAACCAUUAACGACAAGACUUAAACCAGUGAGUCAAGGAAUGGAACUAUUGGUAUCAAUUCCCCGCAUCUAGGGUAUAGACUCAGAAUUCAACCCAUCAGUAUAAGACUCAAACUGCUAACUAACAGGCUGUAGCUUUCCCACCGAUCCCCCGCAUCUAGUUUCAGAAUCAAACUAAGGAGUGCAAGACUUAAAGCAGUACCAACUCCGAAUCCACCUAGGUAAGUUCAAGUCUAAGAGUCAAGGUAGCUAUUCUCUGCUAUGGGCUAACGACUUCAAGCCAGUGCCACUCAUUCUUCAACCACUUCCGCUCAGGCUUCACUCAUUACCAACAAGACUUCAACCUGAGCUUUUCCAAGCCUGAUACGGGUGCCACUCAGCCUUAAAUAAGUGCAUCUAAGCCUUCAACCGAUGCUUCCUAGGCUGAUACCGCUGCUGCUAAGCCCGACACUGGUGUUACUGAGACUUCAACCGGUGCAUCACAGGCUUAAAGCAGUGCAAGCAAGCCUUCAACUCACACCUAUCAGAAUGGAACGAGUAUGUAUGAGACUUCAAUCAGUGCUGGCAAGACUUCAACUAAGUCGACUAAGGCUUCAAUCGCAGCUAGCAAGAAUGCAACUCGGUCGUUCAAGAAUCAAAUCAGUACCACCAAGGCCGAGUAUACCCAGCAACCAGGCUGAAACAACUAACAACGAGACUAGGACAACAGCUACUCAGAAUACAACCAGUAAGAGCAAGACUUAAAGCAGUAACAAUCGGAAUGGAGCUGCUAAGUUUAGGAAUGCAACCCACACCGAUCAGAAUUGAACCAGUGCCUCCAAGCCUGAUACCGGGCCGGGGCAAGCCAAGACUUAAAGCAAUGAAUCAAAGAACCAAACCAGCCAGUGCAAGACUAAAACGACUCCUACUCAGAAUGAGACCAGGUAGGCAUAGGAUGGAGCUUACUCCUUUAAGACUCAAACUAGGGAGUGGCAGAAUAGAGCUGGCAAGUGUAAGGAUGAGACAGGGGAGUCAGAGAAUGCAGCUCGGGUGUCUAAGCCUGAAACCGGUAUUACUCGGAAUGCAGUUAGGGAGUUAAGGUCUCUAACCAAUGCCACUCAGAACCAAACAGUGCACCAACAGACUGAAAGCAGUGAUGGGCAGACCGAAACACAGGGCAGCGUCAGCUGCUGAGAGCACUAACAACCAGAAUUGACCUAGCAACAACAAGACUCGGACAGUGCCCACUCAGACUGAGCCCAGGGAGUUACAGAACCAAACACCUAACAACAAGACUUCACCUGGUGCAUCUAAGCCCGCAGCUGGGUAUACUUGGCCUGAAAGUCAAGGUAGUAAGCCUGAUACUGAUGCUACUGAUUCUCUGUCUCUGUAUUGGUCGCUAAGGUCUCUAACAAGGCAGCUCGGGUCUCUGUUUCAAGACUGAUGCGGUGCCUAGGCAGACUGGAAGGGUAUGGCCAAGCAACGGCGUAAGACGUUGUGCGGCAGCCAUGAAAUAGGUAAUUAUAACAAGUUAUAAACAAGUCCUGUCUUCGGGGACUCAUAGGAGGUAUGCUCGGAAUGUGGCUAUUGAGUUACAGAACCAAACCCGUGGCUCCUCAGCCUGAGACUGGUGCUGCUGCUAUUGAUGCUAGGUAUUUCUCGUAUGGGACUGAAGCGGUGUCUACUGAGAAUGCAACCACUACAAAUAAGCGUUCAAGCCUGAAAGUAAGGGUAGUAAGUCCGAUGCUAGGUAUUGGUACUAAGGCUUAACCAAGUGCUACUGUUGCUAAGGUUUAUCCCCACUACUGUUGCUAAGGUUUCUAAGGUAGUUACAGGCUAUAGCUACUAGUAAGCCUACCAGCAGCCAGUGAUACUCACUUUCAGAAUCAAACAAGUAAAUCAAAGAAUUAGACCUAUGACCAGAACUCCUAUAAAGUAUAUAAUAGUAUGACCAGAACUCCUAUAUGACCAGAACUCCUCAUAUAGUACUAAGAAUGGAACGAGUNNNNNNNNNNNNNNNNNNNNNNNNNNNNNNNNNNNNNNNNNNNNNNNNNNNNNNNNNNNNNNNNNNNNNNNNNNNNNNNNNNNNNNNNNNNNNNNNNNNNNNNNNNNNNNNNNNNNNNNNNNNNNNNNNNNNNNNNNNNNNNNNNNNNNNNNNNNNNNNNNNNNNNNNNNNNNNNNNNNNNNNNNNNNNNNNGCGGGCAAGGCUUAAACAAGUGCUAACCAGACCGGUACUGUGCCUACUCUGCUAGGUAUUUGUACUACUGGUAUUGGUAUGUAGCUAAGGUAGCUAGGGUCUCCAACCACUGCUGAUAGGAAUGAAAGAAGGGUAGCGAGACUCAACCAAGGUAGUUACAGGCUUAACUGAACCCCUACUUCAGACUGAACCAUGGUAGUCAAAGAAUCAAACUAGUCAGUAUAAGAAUGCAAGUGAGCCAGAGUCGAGGUAGGCAAGGCAAGUCGGUCUAGGGGGCUCCUGCCGCGUCACAUGAGGAGUAGCUUGGUCCCUACUCUUUUCAUUCUUUCUCUUUCUAAUAAAGUAAGAUAGAAUUUUGAUGGAAUUUAUUAUACUGGGUGUCUACUGAGUCAGUAUAGUGGAAAGAUCGCCCUUUCUUCAUCUGUUUUUCAUCAGAGUGUGGUGAUUCCUACGGUGGUAAGUCAAACUCUACUACUCCCUUAUUAAAGGCGGGAGCGGUUUAGCAGAAUUAGCGACACCCAUCAUCCUCUCUUAUUAAAACAAGGGAGGGGAAAGGGUUAAUCUAUUCUUAUUCAAACAAGGGAAGGGGCCAAUCUCUAUCCUCUUGCAACAGCCAAACACAUAUGAAACAAGGGAAGAAACAAGCUGCUUUCUAAUCUACCUCGCCUCAAAGCCUGUAAGAUAGUCUGCCCCGACCUCUAAAAAGUGUUCACCCCGACCCGACCUCUUAUAUAUAAGUGUUAACCCCGACCCUGUGGAGCUUCUAUCUUUCUCAACUAAAUCCUUAAUAAGAUAAUAUAUAAUUUAGUAAGGGCCAAGUAGGGAUCAGAGCCACACUAUUAUAUCUUUUCCUCAUUGCUUAACACAAGCACAGAAUCCUCUCCUGUUCCUUUGAUACAGCUGAAGAUCCCGAUCGAUCCUACUUAUGGUUAUCCACCACUAGCCUAGCCUCUUGCUCCCUAUAGUGCUUCCUUGCCUGUAAGAUAGUUGAACAUUGCUGAAACUCCGUUAGCGCCUUGUAAAACUGUAAUGGAAUCCAUCGAGCGCAGAACUAAGAACAUCUAAUCUAGCUAGGAACUUCCCCUUGCUUUCUUUACCUAUGACAUGCUACUAGAAUUGACUAAUGUGUAUAUUAGUUGUGCUUAAGGUACGUAAUUUAGCGCAUUAAGAAUUCCACUCUCAGGGUUCGAAUUGAAGAAUAUAGUUUUAUAGCCCAGAGCGCAUACUAGGUUGGUUCAGAGGACAUGGUUGGGUUGGUGACUCAUAUAUAUCUAUGAAACCAGGGCUCAUUCUUCUACUGCAUCGGAUCUAAUUACCAAGUUAGUUCUAUACUGCAUCCCCCUUUCUUUGGAAUCUAAACACAAGCAACUGCACAUGGUUAGUGACCCUGCUUCUAUUAUACCUCUAUCACAAAGAAUUCUGUUACUUCUGAUCCGACUCUUGAUCUUGUUCUUGAAAACUAAACUACUUGACUUGCUACUGAAACAAGAACUGGAACUGGGCAUUUUCUUUCCUAUAGUCUUUCAACUGAGUCCGGGCCUAGACCCGCUCCAUCUUCUGCAGGAACUCUACUUUAGCGCUUACUUGCCAGCAGUACUUUCUUCUUUUCUUACCUUAACCGGCCAGUAAGGGAUUCUUACCAUAACCCAGCUUCUGCUUCUCGGGUACUGUAAAGAAAGCUUCUUAUCAAACUCUCACUCCUGUUUCAUAUCCGGAUCUCAUUGGCAAAACAAACCAGAACUGCGUAUUCUCCAAGUUAACAUAUGGGUGAAAGGAUUAGUGACCAACAAGAAGUGUGUCUUAAUUAGUUCCAAUAUAGUGAAGCUAGGGCGCAAGGGAAAGCCAAGAACAGAGCUCGACUUUAGGUUCAGAAUGUCAGUGAAAUGAUAUUUUCAACAGGCAAUGGAACAAGGCCGACAUUUUCUUCUUUAGAGUCAAGAAAGUAAGCAAGUAUACGAGUUCAAGAAGCUUCACCCUCAUUAAGUACUUAAGUCUCAAGCAAGGGUAAUCAUUCUAUACGAGAGUCUAGCGCAACGGAACAAACAACUGUUUCUGGAACUAUACUGGAAACGGAACUGACCGCUUAUUCUUUAUUUCCUACUCUGGGUACUGCUCCCCCAGCAGCCUAACCCGAACCCCAGGCAGCAGCAUCUUUUCUAUCUCCUACUCAGUCCGGGUACUGCUUAAGAGACUUCUUCGGCUUCCGUAUCAAAGCCAGUACUAUCUCAAGCAUCUGAUCCAGAUCUUUAUCCUUAUUCGGAUCCUGCGACUCGGGAUUAUAGUCUAACUUCGAUUUCAGAACCAACACAAUCAUCUAAGAACAUAGACAUAGGUUAUUACGUUUAAGAAGCCUUCUCAAGCAUAAAGCGCAUAUUCCCUUCAGUAUAGUAUAAAUCAUAAAGCGCUUCCGUACUUAAAGUCGAGGUGAGGUCAGGCGCUAAGAGCAAGAAAGAUUCCUAGUUGACUGUGCGCUUGAAAGAGUGGACUCUCAGAUCUUCUGCACAAGAAACUUAGGUAAGCUAAGGGAACAAAAGAGAAGGGA